UGAACGCUGGCGGCAGGCCUAACACAUGCAAGUCGAACGGUAACAGGAAGCAGCUUGCUGCUUCGCUGACGAGUGGCGGACGGGUGAGUAAUGUCUGGGAAACUGCCUGAUGGAGGGGGAUAACUACUGGAAACGGUAGCUAAUACCGCAUAACGUCGCAAGACCAAAGAGGGGGACCUUCGGGCCUCUUGCCAUCGGAUGUGCCCAGAUGGGAUUAGCUAGUAGGUGGGGUAACGGCUCACCUAGGCGACGAUCCCUAGCUGGUCUGAGAGGAUGACCAGCCACACUGGAACUGAGACACGGUCCAGACUCCUACGGGAGGCAGCAGUGGGGAAUAUUGCACAAUGGGCGCAAGCCUGAUGCAGCCAUGCCGCGUGUAUGAAGAAGGCCUUCGGGUUGUAAAGUACUUUCAGCGGGGAGGAAGGCGAUAAGGUUAAUAACCUUGUCGAUUGACGUUACCCGCAGAAGAAGCACCGGCUAACUCCGUGCCAGCAGCCGCGGUAAUACGGAGGGUGCAAAGCGUUAAUCGGAAUUACUGGGCGUAAAGCGCACGCCAGGCGGUCUGUCAAGUCGGAUGUGAAAUCCCCGGGCUCAACCUGGGAACUGCAUUCGAAACUGGCAGGCUAGAGUCUUGUAGAGGGGGGUAGAAUUCCAGGUGUAGCGGUGAAAUGCGUAGAGAUCUGGAGGAAUACCGGUGGCGAAGGCGGCCCCCUGGACAAAGACUGACGCUCAGGUGCGAAAGCGUGGGGAGCAAACAGGAUUAGAUACCCUGGUAGUCCACGCCGUAAACGAUGUCGACUUGGAGGUUGUGCCCUUGAGGCGUGGCUUCCGGAGCUAACGCGUUAAGUCGACCGCCUGGGGAGUACGGCCGCAAGGUUAAAACUCAAAUGAAUUGACGGGGGCCCGCACAAGCGGUGGAGCAUGUGGUUUAAUUCGAUGCAACGCGAAGAACCUUACCUACUCUUGACAUCCAGAGAACUUUCCAGAGAUGGAUUGGUGCCUUCGGGAACUCUGAGACAGGUGCUGCAUGGCUGUCGUCAGCUCGUGUUGUGAAAUGUUGGGUUAAGUCCCGCAACGAGCGCAACCCUUAUCCUUUGUUGCCAGCGGUUAGGCCGGGAACUCAAAGGAGACUGCCAGUGAUAAACUGGAGGAAGGUGGGGAUGACGUCAAGUCAUCAUGGCCCUUACGAGUAGGGCUACACACGUGCUACAAUGGCGCAUACAAAGAGAAGCGACCUCGCGAGAGCAAGCGGACCUCAUAAAGUGCGUCGUAGUCCGGAUUGGAGUCUGCAACUCGACUCCAUGAAGUCGGAAUCGCUAGUAAUCGUGGAUCAGAAUGCCACGGUGAAUACGUUCCCGGGCCUUGUACACACCGCC
This 1376-nucleotide ribosomal RNA is filed under the name uncultured bacterium. RNAcentral describes it as "16S ribosomal RNA". It matches the Rfam family "Bacterial small subunit ribosomal RNA", at positions 30 to 1394 of the family's 1533-position model. The record is from RNAcentral.